This 107-nucleotide ribosomal RNA is filed under the name Erinaceus europaeus (western European hedgehog). The record is from RNAcentral. Lineage: Eukaryota; Metazoa; Chordata; Mammalia; Eulipotyphla; Erinaceidae.
AUCUAUGGCCAUACCACCCUGAACAUGCCUGAUCUCCUCUGAUCUCAGAAGCUAAACAGGGUCGGACCUGGUUAGUACUUGGAUGGGAGAACUGUACCCCUCUUAUC